This is a non-coding RNA of Acanthosepion pharaonis, 96 nucleotides long. Lineage: Eukaryota; Metazoa; Mollusca; Cephalopoda; Sepiida; Sepiidae. The record is from the annotation of a GenBank genome assembly.
UGAAACACCACUUUCCAUAUGAUCACCAAAGUUAAGCAAUGUUGAGCCUGGUCAGUAUUUAGAUGAGUGGCUGCUUGGGAAUACCAAGUGCUGUAA